UGAACCUGCGGAGGGAUCAUUACUGAGUUAUCAAAACUCCAAACCCUUUGUGAACCUUACCGUCGUUGCCUCGGCGUGAGCUACGGCUACCCUGUAACUACCCUGGAGCUACCCUAGAGUUACCCUAUAGCUACCCUGCACUUACCCUGCAGCUACCCUAUAGCUACCCUAGAGCUACCCUGGAGCUACCCUGUAGUCGGCUUCGGCCCGCCGAAGGACCCUUAAACUCUUGUUUUUACCACUGCUUCUCUGAAUUUUAAACUAAAAUUAGUUAAAACUUUCAACAACGGAUCUCUUGGUUCUGGCAUCGAUGAAGAACGCAGCGAAAUGCGAUAAGUAAUGUGAAUUGCAGAAUUCAGUGAAUCAUCGAAUCUUUGAACGCACAUUGCGCCCAUUAGUAUUCUAGUGGGCAUGCCUAUUCGAGCGUCAUUUCGACCCCUAAGCCCCUGUUGCUUAGCGUUGGGAAUCUACGGCGUAGUUCCUCAAAGUUAGUGGCGGAGUUAGGGUACACUCUCAGCGUAGUAAUUUCUCUCGCUCGUGUGGUGGCCCUGGCUGCUAGCCGUUAAAACCCCUAUAUUUUCUAGUGGUUGACCUCGGAUUAG
This 602-nucleotide ribosomal RNA is filed under the name Xylariaceae sp. E7015b. Its description in RNAcentral is "eukaryotic LSU rRNA". The stretch from base 276 to 429 matches the Rfam family "5.8S ribosomal RNA". The record is from RNAcentral. Lineage: Eukaryota; Fungi; Ascomycota; Sordariomycetes; Xylariales; Xylariaceae.